Molecule: non-coding RNA, 461 nt
Organism: Pelobates cultripes (western spadefoot toad)
Lineage: Eukaryota; Metazoa; Chordata; Amphibia; Anura; Pelobatidae
Source: the annotation of a GenBank genome assembly
GAAUUCAUCACGCUAUCCCUAUAUACCUGAAGGGUAGGGUCACUAAGGGUUUCCUGCCCAAAUUCUGUGGUGGUAUCCCAGGGGAGGGGUGAAAGGGUUUGGGAAGGUUUUGCUACCUGGACCUCAGAGUGCAUGUGGUUCUCCGUGGUGUGGGCCAGGGACCUGGUGGUGACAGGGUAGGUCCUGCUGGUGACCUGGGAAGGCAGGAACGCUGAGGUCCACUGGCCGUGAUCAUUCCCCAACAAGACGUUGUUGGGGAGUCCCUGCAUCAACCCCACAUCAAUCAGCCCUAACCUGGCACCCCAAUUCAAGUGAACCCUCGCAGCAGGUACCCGAUGUACUGCUCCCCCUGCUGCCCGAGCGGCUACUUAACCUCUGGUUAGGUUGGCAUCUGGGACUAGGUUAUCGGUUUCAGCUUCGUGGAGGGUACUCCAUUGCUCUUCAGAAGAUUUGGACCUGGG